This 753-nucleotide ribosomal RNA is filed under the name uncultured rumen protozoa. RNAcentral's name for it is "bacterial SSU rRNA". The stretch from base 100 to 707 matches the Rfam family "Eukaryotic small subunit ribosomal RNA", at positions 1118 to 1823 of the family's 1831-position model. The record is from RNAcentral.
GAUGAGCAUGGACCUCCCAGUUCUACAGAAAUGUCAACCUCGUCUGUGUCUUUAUUGCGAUAGAUGAUGACUCCCAUUCGUCCUUAGGAAUCAGUCUGUCGGGAGUAGUGCAGACUGAACUAAGAAUGACGAGCACCACCAGAGUGGAGCUGCGCUAUUGACCCACGCGGGAAACUACCAGUCCAGACAUAGUAAGGAUUGACAGAUUGAUAGCUCUUUCUGAUUCUAUGGGUGGUGGUGCAUGGCCGUUCUUAGUUGGUGGAGUGAUUUGUCUGGUUAAUUCCGAUAACGAACGAGACCUUUAACCUGCUAACUAGAUAUUUUCAUUUUAUGAAUAUAUCUUCUUAGAGGGACUAUAUGCUUUAAGUAUAUGGAAGUUUGAGGCAAUAACAGGUCUGUGAUGCCCUUAUAUGUCAUGGGCUGCACGCGUGCUACACUGAGUGUAGUACAAACAAGUGCCUAGCUAGAUAUAGUAUGGCAAUCUCGAAUAUAUAUCGUGAUGGGGAUAGAUCUUUGCAAUUAUAGAUCUUGAACGAGGAAUUCCUAGUAAGUGCAAGUCAUCAUCUUGCAUUGAUUAUGUCCCUGCCCUUUGUACACACCGCCCGUCGCUCCUACCGAUACCGGGUGAUCCGGUGAACCUGUUGGACCCUUUUGGGAAAAAUAAGUAAAUCAUAUCACCUAGAGGAAGGAGAAGUCGAUGCAAGUAAUCUAGAGCAUCGCGAAUUACGAGCUCGAAUCACUGCAGCGUUGCCC